This 472-nucleotide ribosomal RNA is filed under the name uncultured bacterium. RNAcentral describes it as "partial 16S ribosomal RNA". It matches the Rfam family "Bacterial small subunit ribosomal RNA", at positions 28 to 507 of the family's 1533-position model. The record is from RNAcentral.
GACGAACGCUGGCGGCGUGCUUAACACAUGCAAGUCGAACGCUGAAGCUUAGUUCUUUCACUGGGUGGAUGAGUGACGAACGGGUGAGUAAUACGUGAGUAACCUGCCCUUGACUCUUGAAUAAGCCUGGGAAACUGUGUCUAAGACUGGAUACGACAUGUCACCGCAUGGUGGUGUGUGGAAAGAGCUUUACUGGUUUUGGAUGGGCUCACGGCCUAUCAGCUUGUUGGUGGGGUAAUGGCUCACCUAGGCGACGACGGGUAGCCGGCCUGAGAGGGUGACCGGCCACACUGGGACUGAGACACGGCCCAGACUCCUACGGGAGGCAGCAGUGGGGAAUAUUGCACAAUGGGCGGAAGCCUGAUGCAGCGACGCCGCGUGAGGGAUGACGGCCUUCGGGUUGUAAACCUCUUUCAGUACGGAAGAAGCGAAAGUGACGGUACGUGCAGAAGAAGCGCCGGCUAACUACGUG